This 408-nucleotide ribosomal RNA is filed under the name uncultured bacterium. RNAcentral's name for it is "partial 16S ribosomal RNA". It matches the Rfam family "Bacterial small subunit ribosomal RNA", at positions 28 to 526 of the family's 1533-position model. The record is from RNAcentral.
GACGAACGCUGGCGGCGUGCUUAACACAUGCAAGUCGAACGAAGUGGCGAACGGGUGAGUAACGCGUAAUCAACCUGCCCUUCAGAGGGGGACAACAGUUGGAAACGACUGCUAAUACCGCAUAAUGAAGGAGGGGAUUGCGUCGGAUUAGCUAGUUGGAGGGGGAAAGGCCCACCAAGGCGAUGAUCAGUAGCCGGGCUGGGAGGUGGAACUGCCACAUUGGGACUGGGACACGGCCCAGACUCCUACGGGAGGCAGCAGUGGGGAAUCGUUCGCAAUGGACGAAAGUCUGACGGAGCAACGCCGCGUGAGUGAUGACGGCCUUCGGGUUGUAAAGCUCUGUUAAUCGGGACGCGGUACCGGAAUAGAAAGCCACGGCUAACUACGUGCCAGCAGCCGCGGUAAUAC